CCUACGGGGGGCAGCAGUGGGGAAUAUUGGACAAUGGGCGAAAGCCUGAUCCAGCCAUGCCGCGUGUGUGAAGAAGGCCUUCGGGUUGUAAAGCACUUUCAGUGGGGAAGAAAGCCUUGGGGCUAAUACCCUCGAGGAAGGACAUUACCCACAGAAGAAGCACCGGCUAACUCCGUGCCAGCAGCCGCGGUAAUACGGAGGGUGCGAGCGUUAAUCGGAAUUACUGGGCGUAAAGCGCGCGUAGGCGGUCUGAUAAGCCGGUUGUGAAAGCCCCGGGCUCAACCUGGGAACGGCAUCCGGAACUGUCAGGCUAGAGUGCAGGAGAGGAGGGUAGAAUUCCCGGUGUAGCGGUGAAAUGCGUAGAGAUCGGGAGGAAUACCAGUGGCGAAGGCGGCCUUCUGGACUGACACUGACGCUGAGGUGCGAAAGCGUGGGUAGCAAACAGGAUUAGAUACCCCAGUAGUC
RNAcentral lists this ribosomal RNA (465 nucleotides) under Vreelandella stevensii. RNAcentral describes it as "partial 16S ribosomal RNA". It matches the Rfam family "Bacterial small subunit ribosomal RNA", at positions 338 to 795 of the family's 1533-position model. Lineage: Bacteria; Pseudomonadati; Pseudomonadota; Gammaproteobacteria; Oceanospirillales; Halomonadaceae. The record is from RNAcentral.